GCUGAUGUGAAGCCCCCGGGCUCAACCGGGGAGGGUCAUUGGAAACUGGGAGACUUGAGUGCAGAAGAGGAGAGUGGAAUUCCAUGUGUAGCGGUGAAAUGCGUAGAUAUAUGGAGGAACACCAGUGGCGAAGGCGGCUCUCUGGUCUGUAACUGACGCUGAGGCUCGAAAGCGUGGGGAGCAAACAGGAUUAGAUACCCUGGUAGUCCACGCCGUAAACGAUGAGUGCUAAGUGUUGGAGGGUUUCCGCCCUUCAGUGCUGCAGCUAACGCAUUAAGCACUCCGCCUGGGGAGUACGACCGCAAGGUUGAAACUCAAAGGAAUUGACGGGGGCCCGCACAACGUGAGCAUGUGGUUUAAUUCAAGCAACGCGAAGAACCUUACCAGGCUUGACAUCCUUUGACCCUCUAAAUAAGCUUCCCCUUCGGGGGCAAAGUGACAGGUGGUGCAUGGUUGUCGUCACUCUGUCUGAGAUGUUGGUUAAGUCCCGCAACACACCUUAUUGUUAGUUGCCAUCUUCAUUGCACUCUACCAACUGCCGUGACAAACCUUAGAAGUGGUAUGACGUCAAAUCAUCAUGCCCUUAUAGAA
This 591-nucleotide ribosomal RNA is filed under the name Lactobacillales bacterium QCH-16. Its description in RNAcentral is "bacterial SSU rRNA". It matches the Rfam family "Bacterial small subunit ribosomal RNA", at positions 588 to 1208 of the family's 1533-position model. The record is from RNAcentral. Lineage: Bacteria; Bacillati; Bacillota; Bacilli; Lactobacillales.